RNAcentral lists this ribosomal RNA (465 nucleotides) under uncultured bacterium. RNAcentral describes it as "partial small subunit ribosomal RNA". It matches the Rfam family "Bacterial small subunit ribosomal RNA", at positions 26 to 518 of the family's 1533-position model. The record is from RNAcentral.
AGAACGAACGCUGGCGGCACGCCUAACACAUGCAAGUCGAACGAACUUAAUUUCUAGCUUGCUAGGAAUUAAGUUAGUGGCAGACGGGUGAGUAACGCGUGGGAAUCUACCUAGUAGUAUGGAAUAACAGUUGGAAACGACUGCUAAUACCAUAUAUUCUCCGAGGAGGAAAGAUUUAUCGCUACUAGAUGAGCCCGCGUUAGAUUAGGUAGUUGGUAAGGUAAUGGCUUACCAAGCCUACGAUCUAUAGCUGGUCUGAGAGGACGAUCAGCCACACUGGGACUGAGACACGGCCCAGACUCCUACGGGAGGCAGCAGUUAGGAAUUUUCCGCAAUGGGCGAAAGCCUGACGGAGCAACGCCGCGUGAGUGAUGAAGACCUUCGGGUUGUAAAGCUCUGUCGGAGGGAAGAACACAAUGACGGUACCUCCAAGAAAGCCCCGGCUAACUACGUGCCAGCAGCCGC